RNAcentral lists this ribosomal RNA (105 nucleotides) under uncultured bacterium. RNAcentral describes it as "partial 16S ribosomal RNA". It matches the Rfam family "Bacterial small subunit ribosomal RNA", at positions 1379 to 1482 of the family's 1533-position model. The record is from RNAcentral.
CCUUGUACACACCGCCCGUCACACCAUGGGAGUUGGUUCUACCCGAAGGCGAUGCGCUAACCGCAAGGGAGGGAGCCGCCGAAGGUGGGAUUGGUGACUGGGGUG